UUUAUGUGAAUUUCUAACAGAGGAGUCUGAUAAUUGGGACUCUGAAGUAGCAGCACUCUUCGUUCUUCUUUAUUUAAUCCCCCCAGCUGCCCAAGGGAGAGGAAAAGGGAGUCGGUGUACAAUUGAUGAAGCAAAGAAUUUGCUGAUCUCAUUUUAUAAGACUGCAACUCCUCUACCAUCCAUCCUGGAUACUUGGAGCGAGGAUAAGAGACAACCAAACCUUUUGUGUCUUGGAGAAAACAAGAAAACACUUUCUUCCUUUUAUCUCGUUGUAGAUAAAGUACUGCUGCCAAUUGACGCUAAGAAUUCUGCACAAGCAAUUGACCUCCUCUUCAAAUCACACUACGUCUUCGGAGCAGAAUACGACAAGAACUUGCAAGGCCUAUGGAAAUUUCUUCAAGUUUAUAUUUAUAAGGUUGACGUGGACAGUACUGAUCUUUCGGGAAAGGUGAAAAGUGUUUUUACUCAAUUAAGUAAUAUUUUUAAUAAUCUCAUUUAAAAAAAUGUUUACUUGCCCAGUCUGUCAGAUAUUAGUUUUAAGGGCGAGUGAGUUUCAAACUCAUUUAAAAUUUGUACAUAAUUAUGGACACAGUAAUUUUCCUCAAUUAAUUUGCCCUUUUAGUUCAUGUAAUAUAACGUUAGGGACAUGGAGUGGAUUUUUACGUCAUGUAAAGUCACACGAUAAGUUUCUAGAAAUAGGCUCCCAGAUACCAAAUCUAUUUUUUGAGCCAACUUUAAAUAGUUCCAAUUUUAGUGAAGCUCAACAAGAGAUUAAUAUUGACUUUGAGGAUCCCAAAACUUUUGAAAAUAUCUCCGUUGA
Molecule: long non-coding RNA, 820 nt
Organism: Folsomia candida
Lineage: Eukaryota; Metazoa; Arthropoda; Collembola; Entomobryomorpha; Isotomidae
Exons: 3
Source: RefSeq, a predicted model, not a curated record